RNAcentral lists this ribosomal RNA (301 nucleotides) under uncultured bacterium. RNAcentral's name for it is "partial 16S ribosomal RNA". It matches the Rfam family "Bacterial small subunit ribosomal RNA", at positions 509 to 807 of the family's 1533-position model. The record is from RNAcentral.
CAGCAGCCGCGGUAAUACGGAGGGUGCAAGCGUUAAUCGGGAUUACUGGGCGUAAAGCGCACGCAGGCGGUUUGUUAAGUCAGAUGUGAAAUCCCCGAGCUUAACUUGGGAACUGCAUUUGAAACUGGCAAGCUAGAGUCUUGUAGAGGGGGGUAGAAUUCCAGGUGUAGCGGUGAAAUGCGUAGAGAUCUGGAGGAAUACCGGUGGCGAAGGCGGCCCCCUGGACAAAGACUGACGCUCAGGUGCGAAAGCGUGGGGAGCAAACAGGAUUAGAUACCCCUGUAGUCCCUGUCUCUUAUAC